Molecule: non-coding RNA, 86 nt
Filed under: Pseudomonas asplenii
Lineage: Bacteria; Pseudomonadati; Pseudomonadota; Gammaproteobacteria; Pseudomonadales; Pseudomonadaceae
Source: RNAcentral
UGUUAUGGCGGCUGUGCGCGGGACACCUUCGGGUGUGCCGGGUCCUGUUGCCCCGGUCGGCCAACCCGCGCACAGUCGCCACCCUC